This 440-nucleotide ribosomal RNA is filed under the name uncultured bacterium. RNAcentral's name for it is "bacterial SSU rRNA". It matches the Rfam family "Bacterial small subunit ribosomal RNA", at positions 339 to 794 of the family's 1533-position model. The record is from RNAcentral.
GUACGGGAGGCAGCAAUCAGGAAUCUUGCGCAAUGGGGGAAACCCUGACGCAGCGACGUCGCGUGGAGGAAGACGGCCUUCGGGUUGUAAACUCCUUUUAUGAGGGACGAGUAAAGGACGGUACCUCAUGAAUAAGCCCCGGCUAACUCCGUGCCAGCAGCCGCGGUAAUACGGAGGGGGCGAGCGUUGUCCGAAUUUAUUGGGCGUAAAGCGCGUGUAGGCGGACCGUCAAGCCUGGGGUGAAAGGUUUGGGCUCAACCCGAACAGUGCCCUGGGGACUGGUGGUCUGGAGGGAGGCAGAGGAGUGUGGAAUUCCUGGUGCAGCGGUGGAAUGCGUAGAGAUCAGGAAGAACACCCAUGGCGAAGGCAGCACUCUGGGCCUCACCUGACGCUGAGACGCGAAAGCGCGGGGAGCGAACAGGAUUAGAUACCCCGGUAGU